Molecule: unclassified non-coding RNA, 332 nt
Filed under: soil metagenome
Description: partial contains 5.8S ribosomal RNA, internal transcribed spacer 2, and large subunit ribosomal RNA
Rfam family: 5.8S ribosomal RNA (bases 1-120)
Source: RNAcentral
GAUGAAGAACGUAGCGAAAUGCGAUAAGUAAUGUGAAUUGCAGAAUUCAGUGAAUCAUCGAAUCUUUGAACGCACAUUGCGCCCGCUAGUAUUCUGGCGGGCAUGCCUGUUCGAGCGUCAUUUCAACCAUCAAGCCCCCGGCUUGCGUUGGAGCCCUGCGGCUGCCGCAGGCUCCCAAAUCCAGUGGCGGGCUCGUCGUCGUACCGAGUGCAGUAAACAUCCUCGCUCAGGGAACGUGACGGGUUCUUGCCGUGAAACCCCCCACAUAUCAAGGUUGACCUCGGAUCAGGUAGGAAUACCCGCUGAACUUAAGCAUAUCAAUAAGCGGAGGA